Molecule: long non-coding RNA, 900 nt
Organism: Anneissia japonica
Lineage: Eukaryota; Metazoa; Echinodermata; Crinoidea; Comatulida; Comatulidae
Exons: 3
Source: RefSeq, a predicted model, not a curated record
UACCAAUUCAGAUGUUGCGUGUUGGAUGUUGGGCCACAGAGGAGCUGAAACCUUGAUGGAUGGCAACAGCAUUUCAGUUGGCUCGGGCUCAUAUUGGUAUCGCUUCGAUUGCAAUGGUUAUGAAAGAAGACUUUUAAAUUGCACUUACAAUUCUCUUGACUACUGUUAUGAUAAUCCAGUAAUACUACAAUGUACAGAUGGCUAUGGCGAUCAAGGCGAUGUACAUCUGUAUGGAGGUUAUAAUCAAGGUCAAGGGACUCUUGAAGCAUACCUAUAUGGCAUUUGGGGUACCGUAUGCUCGUACAAUUGGAACAAAGACGCAUCGGACGUUGUCUGCAGACAACUUGGUUAUGAUAGAGCGGAAGACAAUUCUAACUCAUACGAGGCAGCACAUUAUAAAACAAUCCAUACAUUUCUAAUUGAGUGUACAGGAGAAGAGUCUCAACUGAGCGAUUGUAAUUUCAACACAUGACAGUGAUGUUGCACUAACGUGUGUGCAUGCAGGAUUAUCCGGUUCCGUUAUUGCAGCAAUCAUUGUUGGAGUCAUUGUUGGGGGCAUCUUGGUGUUAGUGUGCGUGUUUUACCACUGCUGCAAGAAAACAACUCCACGACCUUCAAACACGUCGUUUGCUACUAGCCAUCCACAAGUACCGAAUGUUUCUCUACUGGUCCAAAGUUUGGUUGGGUAUCAGCCUAGUCUUAUUUACCCUGCAGCCCGAUCGGCAUGGACAUCGACAUGCCCAACGGCAUGGUUAUCGGAACCGCCGCCUUCAUAUAAUAAUGUAGUCAACAAUCCAAAUACAUUUACAUCGGCUCAAACAUUACAGCACCGCAUCCUGUAGAAACGUCUCCACCAGCUUUCAUGCCAUACCAACCACACUUGAAUCAGGGUGUUGACCA